GAUGAACGCUGGCGGCGUGCCUAAUACAUGCAAGUCGAGCGAACGGACGAGAAGCUUGCUUCUCUGAUGUUAGCGGCGGACGGGUGAGUAACACGUGGAUAACCUACCUAUAAGACUGGGAUAACUUCGGGAAACCGGAGCUAAUACCGGAUAAUAUUUUGAACCGCAUGGUUCAAAAGUAAAAGACGGUCUUGCUGUCACUUAUAGAUGGAUCCGCGCUGCAUUAGCUAGUUGGUAAGGUAACGGCUUACCAAGGCAACGAUGCAUAGCCGACCUGAGGGGGUGAUCGGCCACACUGGAACUGAGACACGGUCCAGACUCCUACGGGAGGCAGCAGUAGGGAAUCUUCCGCAAUGGGCGAAAGCCUGACGGAGCAACGCCGCGUGAGUGAUGAAGGUCUUCGGAUCGUAAAACUCUGUUAUUAGGGAAGAACAUAUGUGUAAGUAACUGUGCACAUCUUGACGGUACCUAAUCAGAAAGCCACGGCUAACUACGUG
RNAcentral lists this ribosomal RNA (497 nucleotides) under uncultured bacterium. RNAcentral describes it as "partial 16S ribosomal RNA". It matches the Rfam family "Bacterial small subunit ribosomal RNA", at positions 28 to 507 of the family's 1533-position model. The record is from RNAcentral.